ACUGUCCUGGGGAUUUUUUCUUGUCCAAAGGCACAUAUAUAUUUGUGUGUACCUGUGUGUGUACACCCACGUAUAUGCAUGGAUAUGUAUCAUACAAUAUAUGUACAUAUAUCAAGGUCUUUACCUAUAUCUAUUACUGUGCAUAUAUGUGUAUGUAUGUAUCUAUAUCUAUCACUUCUACCAACCCAUCAGCCAGAACUGUUUUCAUAUGCUAGGUUUUACUGUAUGGAGCUUAAAACCCAUUUAUGCCUCAGGUUGCAAUUUUUUGAAUUUUCACGAUCAGACCUUGGUGAUGGCUUUGAGCGGUAGGAUAUAAAUAAUUCCCACAUACUUAGUGUUCCAAUAAUGGAACACUAGGCAUAUUACUACGGGGCUUAUACCACUGAUAGUGAAAAUCUUGACAGUUCUUCUCUUCCCUUUCCAUCAUGUCCACAUGCAUCUGGCCACCAAGUCCUCCCCAUCCCUGCUCUAGUGCUACUGCCUUAGGGCAGGCCACCUUCAGCACUUUUCUGCAUGGUAGCAAGAAGCUGAUAAGAGGGAAGGGGUGCCACAUGGUUUAGCCUGUUACCCAUUACCAACUUGUACUGCACUCAAAGUAUCUGUGGAACAACUCAGAUUUGUUGCCUCCCUGCUUGACGGCGUGUUUGAUGCCCUCAGAAAAACACUUCCACUCCUCAGUAGAGCAUCACAGCCCUCUGCUGUAUGACACCCGACCUUUCUACACUUUUCUCUCUGCACCAAGCUGUGGGAGUUUGCUCUCUUAAACUCCCACGUUCCAACCUCAGCCAAGCUCUCCGGGCAGCCACACUUCCCUUUGCCAGCUGUGACCACCAAUACUGCCACCAGGGGGGUCUGCAGGACCUGCAGGGCCACACUCAUUGGCACCUCGGUGACUUCACUUACUCUGGUCACCCUGCUGUCUCUCCCAGGCCUCCUCCCUCACAGACCUUCUAGGGAAAGGUUCUCUAUCAUGGUCAACUUUGAGCCGUGUAUAUUGGCCACAGGCAUCCCUCCUUCUAUUAGGGCGCCAUACUGCUCACUUAUUAUUGCCUAAAACCUGCUCCCUUGUAGGCUUUCUUUACAGGGCUCUAGCGGAUUCUUAGAGAUAGUAGACAGCUCACUGGUAACCACAGUUCAAAUGCAAACCAACCAAUUCACAGCCACACCCUCACCACUGGCUUUAUUGGGCUCGAACUCCAGGCCACACCCACCUACCCUAAUCACCCCAUAGCCAUGGGUCAGACACCUAAAGACAACCCCUGUGUCCCAGAGCCCAUGGAAAUGACCCAAGCCAGCCAAUCCUAAGCCUGCUUACCCUGCCUGGCCCCUUCUUUCCUGUGAAAAUCACAAUAAAAACAUUUUUUAAAAAAAUUUAAGUUCCAGGGUACAUGUGCAGGAUGUGCAGGUUUGUUACAUAGGUAAACCUGUGCCAUGGUGGUUUGCUGCACCUAUCAACCCAUCGCCUAGGUAUUAAGCCCAACAUCCAUUAGCUAUUCUUCCUGAUGCUCUCCCUCCCCCAACCCCACUCCUCACAAGCCCCAGUGUGUGUUGUUUCCCUCCCUGUGUCCAUGUGUUCUCAUUGUUCAGCUCCCACUUACAAGUGACACCAUGCGGUAUUUGGUUUUCUGUUCCUGUGUUAGUUUGCUGAGGAUAAUAGCUUCCAGCUCAAAACUCUUGACAGUUCUCCCCCUCUCCCUCUGCCUCCUGCCCAACCCUGGGGCUUUCCCAGGUAACUCCCUGUGGCAUGUGGAGUCCCCAUGGAUCUGAGGAGAAAGAACUAACAGAGAUGCAGAAGUCCUCUUCUACUCGGGCUGGGGAUAUGCAUGAGAAAGACACGCGUGGAUGCCGUAUGAGCUCUCGUUCUGAAUGCGGAAAUCUGACCUCCCACCGGAUACUCAGUUCAGGGGGCUCCUGGACCCUCCAGCUGCUCCUCUACUCAUCGCUCCCUCACUCAGAAAACCAGCAGAGAAGUGAACUUCCUCAAAUGACUGACGGUAAAUAUCCAGCAUGGAGCUGGAUUACAAAACUGUAUAAACUGUAAAUAGCAUCACGCUAUUCCCUUUUAAAGAAGUGUCAGUGCUUUUAUUCAUUAAGAUUCAGAUGCUAUGGAGGGGGCAGAUGCGCCUUCUCCCCUCCUGGAUCCCAAAUAAAACACCCCGUAUGGAAGCAGAUGGCUUUGUGUAAAUCAGAUGACAGUUUACGGAGUGAGACGGCCUCAUCGGAACGGCAUUACAAAGGGAGCCCCAGGUAAUGCAUGAGAAAGGAAGUGUUAUAAGAAGCCAAGAAUGGGUGCCCCCCACCCCCCAACCAAGAGCCAGUUCUGUUAACACAGCAGAGAGCCCUCCCCAGGUCUCAAAGUCUCCCUGCCUUUGCUGCCACAGAAUGAUUUCCAUUAGCUCGCUUGCAGAUUAGCAGCCUAAUCUCCUAACAAGAGCUCUUCGAUCAAAUGGUCUGGAGUGGCCACAUGUCUUGCUGCUGCCAAGUGACUGAUUUAAGAGAUGGACAAAAAGGAGACACACAGAAGUCGAGAUAGCAUGAUUAAUGGUCGAUCCAACUUUCUCUGAACCGCAUAUCAUGACUGAAUGGGAAACCCUGAAGAGAUUAAAGGGGGGAAUUACAUUACCAUGAAUAAUAUAAAAAAGUGAUAUUCUGUCUAAAAACCUUUUGAGUGCAAGUGACUCGAACAAAUAUAUUAACAGAGCUUACAGCAGAUUCAAUCAGGUUGAACGCUCCCCAGAAUUUAUUUUGAAAUAAGCUUUAUAUAUCUGAGACGUGAAGAAUGAAUCUAUUCGUGGCUGGCAGGAAAGCUAUUAACAUGCAGAUUUUAAUUCUGCCUUUGAUUCUACAGAGGUUCUAUUGUCCCUCCUUUACGACCGGCAAUCUCUCCCAAUUACGGAUGUAGUACACCUCCACAAAUCUCAAUACCACAGUGACACUCUAGAGAGCUGAGAUUUAUUUUCCUCACUUUAUUCUAACUUCUAAAAAUAAGUUCAAAUAUUUAUUAUCAAGGCACCGAUAAAAGUAUGAUGUUUAAAAGCAUGAAUUAUAUUACACCAACCCAUCCAUCUGUUGGAAAUGCCAGUUUGGGGCUAUAUUUGGGGGGCAAAACUUGGCAGUUAAGAUAGAAACCUUCUUUACAAAAACUAGGUGCACAUUAACUUACAAUUAAGCCUUGAUGUUAAUGAGGUUACAGCAUGUGACCAGUUAACGGGCUGCAGCCAAAAGGCAAAUAUUGAAAUGAAGGCGUUUAUUUUCAAACCAACAAACCUGAACUAAACCAUUACACUAAGUCCCAUUAGCAUUCUAGUUAUUGGGCAAAAUAAUUUCAUCUCCAAAAUUAAUUAAAUAAAUUGGAAUGACCUGGAAUCACUUCUGUGGCAGGCGGAUGGAACAAUACUGCAUGAAAGGCAAAAUCAUUUAGAGUCAACCGGCCCAUCAGUUCCUUGAGAGAUGAUGUUUAAAUUGAUGGGAAGUGAAAGUUAAAAAUAUGAUUCAUCCAAUGAGGCAGUGAUGUACUGUUAAAAUGUUUGCAAAACAAUUUUAAAAAUAAACCUUACUUAAAAAAAUGUCUCCCCCUAAAUUCAGGGAUAGGAUGUCUUUAGAUUAAAAUAAUAUGUUAACAUGUUCAUCACUUAGAAAAUUCGGAUUCUGCUCUGCGUGAGUCACAUUUAUUUUCUAAGCAAUCUGGAUUUUUUUUUUCUUUAGGAACAAAAAUUAAUAAAAUACAUGACUGUUGAAUGCAAUUAAUGGGAUCCAAGGGCUACUGCCAAGUUUUUGAAGAGAAUCAACAGCAGAGUCUUAGCUCAAAUCAUAUCCACAUCAGUACUACGGAUUAAAUGUUUGCGUCCUCGCAAAAUUCGUAAUUUUUUUUUUUUUUUUUUUUUUUUUUGAGACAGUCUUGCUCUGUCACCCAGGCUGGAGUGCAGUGGUGUGAUCUCAGCUCACUGCAACCUCCACCUCCUGGGUUCAAGUGAUUCUCCUGCCUCAGCCUCUGGAGUACCUGAGAUUACAGGCAUUCACCACCACACCCGGCUAAUUUUUAAAAUGUUUUUAGAAAAGACGGGGUUUCACCACAUUGGCCAGGCUGGUCUCGAACUCCUGACCUCAAGUGAUCUGCCCAUCUCAGCCUCCCAAAGUGCUGGGAUUACAGGUGUGAGCCACCACGCCCAGCCAUAUGUUGAAAUUUAAUCACCAAUAUAAUAUAUUAGGAGGUAGGGCCUUUGGGAGGUGAUUAGGUCAUUGAGGCAAAGCCUUCAUGAAUGGGUUAAGGGCUUAAAAGAGGCCAGAUAGAGAGACCCUUUGCCCCUCCCACGAUAUGAGGACAUAGCAAGGAGGUGAACAUCUAGGAACCAGAAAGUGGGCCGUUGCCAAACACUCAAUCUGCCAGCAGCUUGAUCUUGGACUUCCCAGCCUCAAGAACUAUGAGAAAUAGAUUUCAGGUGUUUAUAAGCCACCUAGUUUAUGAUAUUUUGUUAUAGUAGCCAGGACAGACUAAAGCACAAGGCUCUCUCUGGUAACACACGUCAGUAACUUAUCUCUUUAGAUGGAGC
This 4550-nucleotide long non-coding RNA is filed under the name Homo sapiens (human). RNAcentral's name for it is "HSALNT0233868". Lineage: Eukaryota; Metazoa; Chordata; Mammalia; Primates; Hominidae. The record is from RNAcentral.